UUUAUGGAGAGUUUGAUCCUGGCUCAGGAUGAACGCUGGCGGCGUGCCUAAUACAUGCAAGUCGAGCGAACUGACGAGGAGCUUGCUCCUUUGACGUUAGCGGCGGACGGGUGAGUAACACGUGGGUAACCUACCUAUAAGACUGGAAUAACUCCGGGAAACCGGGGCUAAUGCCGGAUAACAUGUUGAACCGCAUGGUUCAACAGUGAAAGACGGUCUUGCUGUCACUUAUAGAUGGACCCGCGCCGUAUUAGCUAGUUGGUAAGGUAACGGCUUACCAAGGCGACGAUACGUAGCCGACCUGAGAGGGUGAUCGGCCACACUGGAACUGAGACACGGUCCAGACUCCUACGGGAGGCAGCAGUAGGGAAUCUUCCGCAAUGGGCGAAAGCCUGACGGAGCAACGCCGCGUGAGUGAUGAAGGUCUUCGGAUCGUAAAGCUCUGUUGUUAGGGAAGAACAUAUGUGUAAGUAACUGUGCACAUCUUGACGGUACCUAACCAGAAAGCCACGGCUAACUACGUGCCAGCAGCCGCGGUAAUACGUAGGUGGCAAGCGUUAUCCGGAAUUAUUGGGCGUAAAGCGCGCGUAGGCGGUUUUUUAAGUCUGAUGUGAAAGCCCACGGCUCAACCGUGGAGGGUCAUUGGAAACUGGAAAACUUGAGUGCAGAAGAGGAAAGUGGAAUUCCAUGUGUAGCGGUGAAAUGCGCAGAGAUAUGGAGGAACACCAGUGGCGAAGGCGGCUUUCUGGUCUGUAACUGACGCUGAGGUGCGAAAGCGUGGGGAUCAAACAGGAUUAGAUACCCUGGUAGUCCACGCCGUAAACGAUGAGUGCUAAGUGUUAGGGGGUUUCCGCCCCUUAGUGCUGCAGCUAACGCAUUAAGCACUCCGCCUGGGGAGUACGGUCGCAAGACUGAAACUCAAAGGAAUUGACGGGGACCCGCACAAGCGGUGGAGCAUGUGGUUUAAUUCGAAGCAACGCGAAGAACCUUACCAAAUCUUGACAUCUUUUGACCACUCUAGAGAUAGAGGUUUCCUCUUCGGAGGACAAAAUGACGGGUGGUGCAUGGUUGUCGUCAGCUCGUGUCGUGAGAUGUUGGGUUAAGUCCCGCAACGAGCGCAACCCUUAAGCUUAGUUGCCAUCAUUAAGUUGGGCACUCUAAGUUGACUGCCGGUGACAAACCGGAGGAAGGUGGGGAUGACGUCAAAUCAUCAUGCCCCUUAUGAUUUGGGCUACACACGUGCUACAAUGGACAAUACAAAGGGCAGCGAAACCGCGAGGUCAAGCAAAUCCCAUAAAGUUGUUCUCAGUUCGGAUUGUAGUCUGCAACUCGACUACAUGAAGC
Molecule: ribosomal RNA, 1344 nt
Filed under: Staphylococcus agnetis
Lineage: Bacteria; Bacillati; Bacillota; Bacilli; Caryophanales; Staphylococcaceae
Description: bacterial SSU rRNA
Rfam family: Bacterial small subunit ribosomal RNA
Source: RNAcentral